CAGUGAAUCCUAGCCGGAGCCAAAGGGAAAAGUGAGGGGUCCUCACAAGACCAAUGGGCAGAGCAGUCUUAAUGCAUCUGGCUCACCUUUCACUAGGGCAUCAACAGCUCCCAUGGAGAGCAACCCCAGACCUACUAAACCUUAAUGAAAUGGAAGAAAGGGCCUCCAAAGAAAGGAAAAAAGCAGUAGCUCCCUUGGCAAACCAGCCGUGACAGGAUGGGAUUCAGAUACGGGACACAAAUACCACGGCAAAGCUCACGCUCCCAAUUCGCACUGUGAACAAGCAACAGGAACAAAACUAGGUGUCUGUAUCUGAGAGCACAUGUAACUGAACACAAAGCAGCCAUUUAAAGAAGAUCAUAUCACUGUCCUGGAAAUCAACCUUAAAGGCCAAGAGGUGGCCCCUGACCAUAAGAAGCCACAGUCCCGUGACGGAGCUGACUCUAAGGAGACAAGAUGGCAGGCCUGCGGAGCACCGUGUCCAGGGAGUUGAGGUGCCGUCACGCGCAAGCCACCAGCUGGGCCGCAUCUGGGGAGCUCGCGUAGUUUUCACAAAGCUGUCUCCCAUAGCAUCGGACCUUUAAAUCACCCUGGGAGAGAGGAAAUGCCUCAUUGUCAUCUCCCUUCCACGCCUGAGGAAGUCAAUACGUGAAGAGUACAAUUCCAAGUGACGGAGCCGGGGAGCGUAUGCUGUAAUAGACAAAGGAUGCACCUUGCCUGUAAAUCCAGGUGCUGGCCCAGCACGGUCACUUACGAACAAGUUGCACCAAACCAUGGAGGCUCUGUUUGCACAACUGUCCUAUGGAACACGGGAGUUCUUCCUUACACAGAAUUGAGGGUGGACCGAGAUGUACACACACACUGAUGUCAGAGCCCAAUACAUAAACUUUCUCUCCCUCUCUUCUCCACUUAGAAUUCAUAUUCAGAUUAUCAGACUCUAGGUCAACAACCAGAACCUUAUUCUCAAAUCUCUGUAAGCUCUGGUUUAAUGAGAACCCCAGAGUUACGGUGUAGAAAUUGAGUUCCCUGGGGUGCCUGGGUGGCUCAGUCAGUUUUGGGUCCAUCCCUUGAUUUCAGCUCGGGUCAUGAUCUCACGGUUUGUGAGCUCAAGCCCCAAGUCAGCUUAG
Molecule: long non-coding RNA, 1127 nt
Organism: Felis catus (domestic cat)
Lineage: Eukaryota; Metazoa; Chordata; Mammalia; Carnivora; Felidae
Exons: 4
Source: RefSeq, a predicted model, not a curated record